UGGCCAUUGGGACGCCUGGGGAGACUUGCCAAGCUGCCAAAAUAUUUGGACACCCAAAUGCUAGUGUUCAAACGCAUUUCUCCAUCAGGAUUCUGACUUCAUCCUCCUACUGCAUAUUUCUGCACCAUGUCCUUGCUUUCUGUCCUUGCAUCGUGACGCGUACCGGUGCGGCUUCGUGCCCCAUCGGAGAUGGUUAUCAGCACAAUGAUUUAAUGCCAAGCAAUGCAAGCAGGCAGUGUAAUGUCAGUGCUAUCUCUGCUCUCACCCCUCCAGCACUUUCAUAUCCUGCCGUGGUAACGCAAAGGAUUAAAGCAAAGAUGGGAGUGCUGAUGGAAGGGAGUGGUGUUGAUCUCAUCUCGUGUGCUGGUCCCACACUCCGCACCCAUUACAAUGAAAGAUCUUGUUCUGCAAGCACCACGGCUGAAAUAAAGGUGAUGCUCUCCAUGGUUUUUGCUUUCCUCCUUCUGUAG
This 470-nucleotide long non-coding RNA is filed under the name Phasianus colchicus (ring-necked pheasant). RNAcentral describes it as "lncRNA (ENSPCLG00000001595.1)". The record is from RNAcentral. Lineage: Eukaryota; Metazoa; Chordata; Aves; Galliformes; Phasianidae.